RNAcentral lists this ribosomal RNA (648 nucleotides) under uncultured bacterium. Its description in RNAcentral is "bacterial SSU rRNA". It matches the Rfam family "Bacterial small subunit ribosomal RNA", at positions 777 to 1423 of the family's 1533-position model. The record is from RNAcentral.
AUUAGAUACCCCGGUAGUCCUGGCCGUAAACGAUGGGUACUAGGUGUAGGAGGUAUCGACCCCUUCUGUGCCGGAGUCAACGCAAUAAGUACCCCGCCUGGGGAGUACGACCGCAAGGUUGAAACUCAAAGGAAUUGACGGGGGCCCGCACAAGCGGUGGAGUAUGUGGUUUAAUUCGACGCAACGCGAAGAACCUUACCAGGUCUUGACAUUGAUGGACAGAACCAGAGAUGGUCCCUCUUCUUCGGAAGCCAGAAAACAGGUGGUGCACGGUUGUCGUCAGCUCGUGUCGUGAGAUGUUGGGUUAAGUCCCGCAACGAGCGCAACCCCUAUCUUAUGUUGCCAGCACUUUGGGUGGGGACUCAUGAGAGACUGCCGCAGACAAUGCGGAGGAAGGCGGGGAUGACGUCAAAUCAUCAUGCCCCUUAUGACCUGGGCUACACACGUACUACAAUGGGAGUUAAUAGACGGAAGCGAGAUCGCGAGAUGGAGCAAACCCGAGAAACACUCUCUCAGUUCGGAUCGUAGGCUGCAACUCGCCUACGUGAAGUCGGAAUCGCUAGUAAUCGCAGGUCAGCAUACUGCGGUGAAUACGUUCCCGGGCCUUGUACACANCGCCCGUCACACCACGAAAGUCGGAAGUGCCCA